RNAcentral lists this ribosomal RNA (464 nucleotides) under uncultured bacterium. RNAcentral describes it as "partial 16S ribosomal RNA". It matches the Rfam family "Bacterial small subunit ribosomal RNA", at positions 31 to 507 of the family's 1533-position model. The record is from RNAcentral.
GAACGCUGGCGGCGUGCUUACCACAUGCACGUCGAACGGAAAGGCUCCAGCUUGCUGGCGUACUCGAGUGGCGAACGGGUGAGUAACACGUGGGUAAUCUGCCCUGCACUCUGGGAUAAGCCUGGGAAACUGGGUCUAAUACUGGAUAUGACCUUUCUCCUUAUGGGGUUUGGUGGAAAGUUUUUCGGUGUAGGAUGAGCCCGCGGCCUAUCAGCUUGUUGGUGGGGUGAUGGCCUACCAAGGCGACGACGGGUAGCCGGCCUGAGAGGGUGAUCAGCCACAUUGGGACUGAGAUACGGCCCAGACUCCUACGGGAGGCAGCAGUGGGGAAUAUUGCACAAUGGGCGGAAGCCUGAUGCAGCGACGCCGCGUGAGGGAUGACGGCCUUCGGGUUGUAAACCUCUUUCAGCAGGGACGAAGCGUAAGUGACGGUACCUGCAGAAGAAGCACCGGCUAACUACGUG